UCCUAAACAAUAGAAUAUGUUGACAUGAGGAGGGACAUAUUUACUAGUUAUAUCAUCGGCAAUCGCCUGAAUCUCAAGACGUUCUUCGAACCAAUCAUAGACUUUAUUGAGAUAGGUAAACCAAAGGAACUCCCCCUCUGAGAACCGUAUAUGAGAAUUUCAUCUCGUACGGCUCAAACAGAAAAACCCAAUACUGGUUGUAACGGAAACGGAUAUGUUAAAUAAUAAAAAGUUUUAAACUUCUUAAUUUAAUCCUAUUAUUCCAAAUCUUAUUUGAAGAUAAGAAAAAUAUAUAAAUCCUUAAAUUGAUCUGUGCAGGGUUAUAAUGCCAAAAGGCAGGAUCAUCAUUAAAACCAUCAUACUUGCCGACCAUCGAUGAACAGAUCGGAUUAACCAACCAAAGUUAGCCUCAGUCAUUAUAUAUUGAACCGAAGCACAAAAGCCUCAGUAACGGUCGGACGAUAAUAAAAGGUCAUAGCAAAUCCCGUUGCUACUUGGACUAAAAAGCAAGUAAGUGUAAUUCCUCCUAAACAAUAGAAUAUGUUGACAUGAGGAGGGACAUAUUUACUAGUUAUAUCAUCGGCAAUCGCCUGAAUCUCAAGAUGUUCUUCGAACCAAUCAUAGACUUUAUUGAGAUAGGUAAACCAAAGGAACUCCCCCUCUGAGAACCGUAUAUGAGAAUUUCAUCUCGUACGGCUCAAACAGAAAAACCCAAUACUGGUUGUAACGGAAACGGAUAUGUUAAAUAAUAAAAAGUUUUAAACUUCUUAAUUUAAUCCUAUUAUUCCAAAUCUUAUUUGAAGAUAAGAAAAUAUAUAAAUCCUUAAAUUGAUCUGUGCAGGGUUAUAAUGCCAAAAUCUCAAGUCGGCGCACUCGUCUUUCUUUAUCUUGAUCUUUACAGGCCUCUUGAAUAUUCUAUUUACUUCAUUUUUUCUUUGAUUUUUUUGUAGAAUGCGACUUUUUUAGUGCCGUCUUCUUUAUUAUUAGUAUUGAUAAGAAUUCUCUUGUUAAGACCCUAUGAACAAUUAAAAAAAACCUCAGAUUCAUACCAGAACCACAAUGAUUCAAAAAAAACCUUUAAUGUCCAAAAAUUCCCUGAGUAAGAACUGCUGGAUUAUCACUUAUUCAAGAAAUAGAUAGGAUAGAAUGAAAAAAGAAAUCAAAAGACAUUUUUUUGCUUUGAUAAAAAAAAAGACAAAUAGUGGCAAUUUUAUUUGAAAGAAUCAAAAUUUUUU
This 1235-nucleotide long non-coding RNA is filed under the name Arachis ipaensis. Its description in RNAcentral is "long non-coding RNA (AIPA_LNC001472)". The record is from RNAcentral. Lineage: Eukaryota; Viridiplantae; Streptophyta; Magnoliopsida; Fabales; Fabaceae.